Caerostris darwini is the source of this 100-nucleotide non-coding RNA. The record is from the annotation of a GenBank genome assembly. Lineage: Eukaryota; Metazoa; Arthropoda; Arachnida; Araneae; Araneidae.
ACGGCCGUACCAUGAUGAAUAUACCGGUUCUCGUUAGAACACCGAAGUCAAGCAUCAUUGGGCGCGGUCAAAUACCACCUGGGAACACCGCGUGCCGUUG